Molecule: ribosomal RNA, 840 nt
Filed under: uncultured Chromohalobacter sp.
Lineage: Bacteria; Pseudomonadati; Pseudomonadota; Gammaproteobacteria; Oceanospirillales; Halomonadaceae
Description: bacterial SSU rRNA
Rfam family: Bacterial small subunit ribosomal RNA
Source: RNAcentral
UACUGGGCGUAAAGCGCGCGUAGGCGGCGUGUCACGCCGGGGUGUGAAAGCCCCGGGCUCAACCUGGGAACGGCAUCCGGAACGGGCAGGCUAGAGUGCAGGAGAGGAAGGUAGAAUUCCCGGUGUAGCGGUGAAAUGCGUAGAGAUCGGGAGGAAUACCAGUGGCGAAGGCGGCCUUCUGGACUGACACUGACGCUGAGGUGCGAAAGCGUGGGUAGCAAACAGGAUUAGAUACCCUGGUAGUCCACGCCGUAAACGAUGUCGACUAGCCGUUGGGUCCCUUGAGGACUUAGUGGCGCAGUUAACGCGAUAAGUCGACCGCCUGGGGAGUACGGCCGCAAGGUUAAAACUCAAAUGAAUUGACGGGGGCCCGCACAAGCGGUGGAGCAUGUGGUUUAAUUCGAUGCAACGCGAAGAACCUUACCUACCCUUGACAUCCUGCGAACCCGGAAGAGAUUCCGGGGUGCCUUCGGGAGCGCAGAGACAGGUGCUGCAUGGCUGUCGUCAGCUCGUGUUGUGAAAUGUUGGGUUAAGUCCCGUAACGAGCGCAACCCUUGUCCCUAUUUGCCAGCGAUUCGGUCGGGAACUCUAGGGAGACUGCCGGUGACAAACCGGAGGAAGGUGGGGACGACGUCAAGUCAUCAUGGCCCUUACGGGUAGGGCUACACACGUGCUACAAUGGCCGGUACAAAGGGUUGCGAAAGCGCGAGCUGAAGCUAAUCCCGAAAAGCCGGUCUCAGUCCGGAUCGGAGUCUGCAACUCGACUCCGCGAAGUCGGAAUCGCUAGUAAUCGUGCAUCAGAAUGGCACGGUGAAUACGUUCCCGGGCCUUGUACACACC